RNAcentral lists this transfer RNA (71 nucleotides) under Spironucleus salmonicida. RNAcentral's name for it is "tRNA-Gly". It matches the Rfam family "tRNA". From Rfam's summary of the family: Transfer RNA (tRNA) molecules are approximately 80 nucleotides in length. Their secondary structure includes four short double-helical elements and three loops (D, anti-codon, and T loops). Further hydrogen bonds mediate the characteristic L-shaped molecular structure. tRNAs have two regions of fundamental functional importance: the anti-codon, which is responsible for specific mRNA codon recognition, and the 3' end, to which the tRNAs corresponding amino acid is attached (by aminoacyl-tRNA synthetases). tRNAs cope with the degeneracy of the genetic code in two manners: having more than one tRNA (with a specific anti-codon) for a particular amino acid; and 'wobble' base-pairing, i.e. permitting non-standard base-pairing at the 3rd anti-codon position. The record is from Rfam by way of RNAcentral. Lineage: Eukaryota; Fornicata; Diplomonadida; Hexamitidae.
GCGCCGUUGGUCUAGUGGUAGAAUAUGUGCUUGCCAUGCACGUGGUCUGGGUUCGAUUCCCGGACGGUGCA